This is a long non-coding RNA of Oncorhynchus tshawytscha (Chinook salmon), 323 nucleotides long. The record is from Ensembl. Lineage: Eukaryota; Metazoa; Chordata; Actinopteri; Salmoniformes; Salmonidae.
CAUUUCACUGUAAGGUCUACUACACCUGUUGUAUUCAGCAUUUCACUGUAAGGUCUACCUACACCUGUUGUAUUCAGCAUUUCACUGUAAGGUCUACCUACACCUGUUGUAUUCAGCAUUUCACUGUAAGGUCUACUACACCUGUUGUAUUCAGCAUUUCACUGUAAGGUCUACUAGACCUGUUGUAUUCAGCAUUUCACUGUAAGGUCUACUACACCUGUUGUAUUCAACAUUUCACUGUAAGGUCUACUACACCUGUUGUAUUCAGCAUUUCACUGUAAGGUCUACCUACACCUGUUGUAUUCAGCAUUUCACUGUAAGGU